Molecule: long non-coding RNA, 2103 nt
Filed under: Nicotiana tabacum (common tobacco)
Lineage: Eukaryota; Viridiplantae; Streptophyta; Magnoliopsida; Solanales; Solanaceae
Description: long non-coding RNA (NTAB_LNC015953)
Source: RNAcentral
AGGCACUCACACGGGAAAACAAGGGAAUUCGUUUCAAGUUUUUGCAUAGGGCGCCGACCUGGAAAACAAGGGAAUACAUUUCAAGUUUCAGCAUUAGGCGCCGACCUGGAAAACAAGUGAAUACAUUGCAUGUUUUGGCAUCUGGCGCCCACCUAGAAAAAAAGGGUAUACAUUUAAAGUUUUUGCAUCAGGCACCCACCUAGAAAACAAGGGAAUACAUUUCAUGUUUUAGCAUCAGGCACUAACCUGGAUAACUAGGGAAUACAUUGCAAGUUUUGGCAUCUGGAACCCACCUGGAAAACAAGGGAAUACAUUGCAAGUUUUGGCAUCAGACACCCACUGGAUAACAAGGGAAUACAUUCCAUGUUUUGGCAUCAGGAUCCCACCUGGAAAACAAAGGGAUGCAUUUCAAGUUUCGGCAUCAGGCGCCCACUUGGAAAACAAGUGAAUAUAGGUUAAGUUUUGGCAUCAGGCGCCACCUGGAAAACAAUGGAAUACGUUUCAUGUUUUGGCAUUAGCUGGCCACCUGAAAAACAAGGGAAUAAAUUUCAAGUUUUGGCAUUAGGAACCCCUGGAACACAAGGGAAUACAUUUCAAGUGUCAGCAUCAGGCGACCACCUAGAAAACAAGGGAAUACAUUUCAUGUUAUGGCAUCAAGAACCCACCUGUAAACAAAAGAAUACAUUUCAAGUUUUGGCAUCAGGCGCCCACCUGGAAAACAUGGGAAUACAUUUCAAGUUUGGCUUCAGGCGGCCCCUUGGAAAACAAUGGAAUAUAUCUCAAGUUUUGGUAUUAGGCGCCCACCUGGAUAAUAAAGGAAUACAUUGCAUGUUUUGGCAUUAGACACCCACCUGGAAAACAAGGGAAUACAUUUCAAAUUUUUGCGUCGGGCGCCCACCUUGAAAACAUGGGAAUACAUUUCAAGUUUUGACACUAGGCGCCUACCUAGAAAAAAAGGGAAUGCAUUUCAAGUUUUUGCAUCGGGCGCCCACCUGGAAAACAAGGGAAUACAUUUCAAGUUUUGGGAUCAGGCGCUGACCUGGGAAAACAAGGGAAUACUUUUCAAGUUUUGGGAUCAGGCGCCCACCAUGAAUACUAGGGAACAUAUUUCAUGUUUUGGCAUCAGGCACCCACUUGGAAAAUAAGGGAAUACAUUUCAAGUUUUGGUAUCAGGCGCCCACCUGGAAAAUAAGGGAAUAUAUUUUAAGUUUUAGGAUCAGGCGCCCACCUAGAAAAAAGGGGAAUACAUUUCAAGUUUUUGCAUAGGGCGCCGACCUGGAAAACAAGGGAAUACAUUUCAAGUUUCAGCAUUAGGCGUCGACCUGGAUAAUAAGGGAAUACAUUGCAAGUUUUGGCAUCAGGCACCCACCUCGAAAACAAGGGAAUACAUUGAAAGUUUUGGCAUCAGGCGCCCACCUGGAUAAUAAAGGAAUACAUUGCAUGUUUUGGCAUCAGACACCCACCUGGAAAACAAGGGAAUACAUUUCAAAUUUUUGCGUCGGGCGCCCACCUGGAAAACAUGGGAAUACAUUUCAAGUUUUGACAUUAGGCGCCCACCUAGAAAAAAAGGGAAUACAUUUCAAGUUUUGGCAUCAUGCACCCACCUGGAAAAUAAGGGAAUACAUUUCAAGUUUUGGCAUCAGGCGCUCACCUGGGAAAACAAGGGAAUAUGUUUCAAGUUUCGGGAUCAGGCGCCCACCUGGAAAACAAGGGAAUACAAUUGAUGUUUUGGCAUCAGGUGCCCACUUGGAAAAUAAGGGAAUACAUUUCUAGUUAGUUUUGGUAUCAGGCGCCGACCUGGAUAACAAUGGAAUACAUUGAAAGUUUUGGCAUCAGGCGCCGACCUGGAUAACAAUGGAAUACAUUGAAAGUUUUGGCAUCAGGCGCCCACCUGGAUAAUAAAGGAAUACAUUGCAUGUUAUGGCAUUAGACACCCACCUGGAAAACAAGGGAAUACAUUUAAAAUUUUUGCGUCGGGCGCCCACCUGGAAAACAUGGGAAUACAUUUCAAGUUUUGACAUUAGGCGCCCACCUAGAAAAAAAGGGAAUACAUUUCAAGUUUUUGCAUCGGGCGCCCACCUGGAAAACAAGGGAAUACAUUUC